AAUAGAUACCCGGGUAGUCCACACCGUAAACGUUGGGCGCUAGGUGUGGGAUCCAUUCCCACGGGUUCCGUGCCGCAGCUAACGCAUUAAGCGCCCCGCCUGGGGAGUACGGCCGCAAGGCUAAAACUCAAAGGAAUUGACGGGGGCCCGCGCAAGCGGCGGAGCAUGCGGAUUAAUUCGAUGCAACGCGAAGAACCUUACCUGGGUUUGACAUACGCCGGAAGCUCCCAGAGAUGGGGGUCUCUUUGAUACCGGUGUACAGGUGGUGCAUGGCUGUCGUCAGCUCGUGUCGUGAGAUGUUGGGUUAAGUCCCGCAACGAGCGCAACCCUUGUCUCAUGUUGCCAGCACGCUUCCCUUUGGGGGUGUGGGGACUCAUGAGGGACUGCCGGGGUCAACGUCGGAGGAAGGUGGGGAUGACGUCAAGUCAUCAUGCCCCUUAUGUCCAGGGCUUCACGCAUGCUACAAUGGCCGGUACAGACCGCUGGCGAUCCCGUGAGGGGGAGCGAAUCGGAAAAAGCCCGGUCUCGAGUUCGGAUUGGGGUCUG
RNAcentral lists this ribosomal RNA (546 nucleotides) under uncultured bacterium. Its description in RNAcentral is "bacterial SSU rRNA". It matches the Rfam family "Bacterial small subunit ribosomal RNA", at positions 777 to 1307 of the family's 1533-position model. The record is from RNAcentral.